GGGAGUGGUGGAGCCGGUGACCCGAGCUGGUAGUAGGUGAGUGAUGGGGUGACGCAGGAAGGUAGUCCAUCCCGGGCGGUGGUUGUCCCGGGGUAAGGGUGUAGGACGUCAGGUAGGUAAAUCCGCCUGGCAAUAGUCUGAGACCUGAUGCCGAGCCGAUUGUGGUGAAGUGGAUGAUCCUAUGCUGUCGAGAAAAGCCUCUAGCGAGUUUCAUGGCGGCCCGUACCCUAAACCGACUCAGGUGGUCAGGUAGAGAAUACCGAGGCGUUCGGGUGAACUAUGGUUAAGGAACUCGGCAAAAUGCCCCCGUAACUUCGGGAGAAGGGGGGCCACACUCGGUGAUCCGAUUUACUCGGUGAGCUGGGGGUGGCCGCAGAGACCAGCGAGAAGCGACUGUUUACUAAAAACACAGGUCCGUGCGAAGCCGUAAGGCGAUGUAUACGGACUGACGCCUGCCCGGUGCUGGAACGUUAAGGGGACCGGUUAGCUCACUUUCGGGUGGGCGAAGCUGAGAACUUAAGCGCCAGUAAACGGCGGUGGUAACUAUAACCAUCCUAAGGUAGCGAAAUUCCUUGUCGGGUAAGUUCCGACCUGCACGAAUGGCGUAACGACUUCUCGACUGUCUCAACCAUAGGCCCGGUGAAAUUGCACUACGAGUAAAGAUGCUCGUUUCGCGCAGCAGGACGGAAAGACCCCGGGACCUUUACUACAGUUUGAUAUUGGUGUUCGGUUCGGCUUGUGUAGGAUAGCUGGGAGACUGUGAAGCCUGGACGCCAGUUCGGGUGGAGUCGUCGUUGAAAUACCAGUCUGGUCGUGCUGGAUGUCUAACCUGGGUCCGUGAUCCGGAUCAGGGACAGUGUCUGAUGGGUAGUUUAACUGGGGCGGUUGCCUCCUAAAGGGUAACGGAGGCGCCCAAAGGUUCCCUCAGCCUGGUUGGCAAUCAGGUGUUGAGUGUAAGUGCACAAGGGAGCUUGACUGUGAGACCGACGGGUCGAGCAGGGACGAAAGUCGGGACUAGUGAUCCGGCGGUGGCUUGUGGAAGCGCCGUCGCUCAACGGAUAAAAGGUACCCCGGGGAUAACAGGCUGAUCUUCCCCAAGAGUCCAUAUCGACGGGAUGGUUUGGCACCUCGAUGUCGGCUCGUCGCAUCCUGGGGCUGGAGUCGGUCCCAAGGGUUGGGCUGUUCGCCCAUUAAAGCGGUACGCGAGCUGGGUUUAGAACGUCGUGAGACAGUUCGGUCCCUAUCCGCUGUGCGCGUAGGAGUCUUGAGAAGGGCUGUCCCUAGUACGAGAGGACCGGGACGGACGAACCUCUGGUGUGCCAGUUGUUCUGCCAAGGGCAUGGCUGGUUGGCUACGUUCGGGAGGGAUAACCGCUGAAAGCAUCUAAGCGGGAAGCCUGCUUCGAGAUGAGGGCUCCCACCCACUUGAUGGGGUAAGGCUCCCAGUAGACGACUGGGUUGAUAGGCCGGAUAUGGAAGCACGGUAACGUGUGGAGUUGACCGGUACUAAUAGGCCGAGGGCUUGUCCU
Molecule: ribosomal RNA, 1528 nt
Filed under: Streptomyces speibonae
Lineage: Bacteria; Bacillati; Actinomycetota; Actinomycetes; Kitasatosporales; Streptomycetaceae
Description: bacterial LSU rRNA
Rfam family: Bacterial large subunit ribosomal RNA
Source: RNAcentral